UGGGAGAGACAGGAGAGGUGAUAGGAGAGACAGGAUGAGGGACAGGAGAGGUGAUAGGAGAGACAGGAUGGGGGACAGGAGGGGUAAUGGGAGAGACAGGAGAGGUGACAGGAAAGACAGGAUGAGGGACAGGAGAGGUGAUAGGAGAGACGGGAUGGGGGACAGGAGGGGUGAUAAAAGAGACAGGAGAGGUGAUAGGAGAGACAGGAUGAGGGACAGGAGGGGUGAUGGGAGAGACAGGAUGUGGGACAGGAGGGGUGAUAGGAGAGACGGGAUGUGGGACAGGAGGGGUGAUAGGAGAGACGGGAUGGGGGACAGGAGGGGUGAUAAAAGAGACAGGAGAGGUGACAGGAAAGACAGGAUGAGGGACAGGAGGGGUGAUGGGAGAGACAGGAGAGGUGAUAGGAGAGACAGGUUGAGAGACAGGAGGGGUAAUGGGAGAGACAGGAGAGGUGACAGGAAAGACAGGAUGAGGGACAGGAGGGGUGAUGGGAGAGACAGGAGAGGUGAUAGGAGAGACAGGUUGAGAGACAGGAGGGGUAAUGGGAGAG
Long non-coding RNA from Oncorhynchus tshawytscha (Chinook salmon), 551 nucleotides. NCBI's taxonomy places the organism in Eukaryota, Metazoa, Chordata, Actinopteri, Salmoniformes, Salmonidae. The record is from Ensembl.